AUGGCCGCGCAGGCCCCCGAGGGCGAGGGGCCGGCCCCCGCCCGCCCAUCGCGCAUCCGCGUCAUGCGCCCGGAGGUGGAGGAGGUCCUCAAGAGCCCCCGCCGCGGCCGCGCCAAGCUGCACAAGGAGGGCGGCGGCGAGCAGGAGGACGACGCCGGCGCGCGGCCGCGGUACGACUGCCCGUUCCAGGACGAGGAGAAGGAGGGGCAGCAGGGGUUCGCGCCGCCCGACGUGGUGUGGUGCAAGGUGCGGAGCCACCCCUGGUGGCCGGCCCAGGUCUUCGACGCCGCCGACGCCUCCGAGCUCGCGCUCCGGCACGCCAGGCCCGGCGCGCCCCUCGUCGCCUACUUCUGGGACCGGACCUUCGCCUGGAUGGACCCCUCCGUGCUGCGCCCCUUCCGCGCCCACUUCCCCCGCCUCGCCGCCCAGAGCUCAUCGCGCAAGAGAGAUGCUCCUGCAAAGGAACCAGAAGUGGCCAUUGAUGUUGAGGACAGCCCUCCUAUGCCCAGGGACAGGAUCAUGGACACCUCCGAAGAUGCAGCGGAUAAGGGAGAAGCUCCUGCAAACAAAGAUGCUGCCAUAGUUGAGGACACCCCUAUGCCCAGUACCAAGCAUAGGAAGUCGAAGAGAGGUAGCAAGACUUCAGCAGAGAAAAAGAAGAAAGACACUUCCAAAGAUACAGCAGAUAAGGGCGAGUCUCAACCAGAGGCAGAGCCUGCCAAAGAAGAUGAUGUGAAUGGGGACAGCUCUAUGCCGAGUGUGGAGGUGACGGAUGAUACAUUGAGCAAGCAAAGGAAGUCGAAGAGAGUUAGCAAGAGUGCAGCAGAGAGCAAGAAGAAAGACACCUCCAAAGACACGGCAGAUAAGGGCGAGUCUCUACCAGAGGCAGAGCCUGCAAAAGAAGAUGAUGUGGAUGAGGACAGCUCUAUGCCCAGCAGCGGGGCGGCAGAUGAUACAUCGAGCAAGGGAAGGAAGUCAAGGAGAGCUACUAGGAGUUCAGCAAAGACGAAGAAGAACGACACCUCCAAGGACACAGACAAGACAGACUCUGUAACUGAGCCUGCAAAGGAAGUGACUGAGAACGAGGACAGCUCUAUGCCCAGUGCAGAGGCGACAGAUGAUACAGUGAGCAAGGGAAGAAAGUCGAAGAAAAGUAAGGGUUCGGCAAAGACGAAGAAGAGAGAUGCAGAUAAGAAUGAGUCUGUACCAGAGCCUGCAAAAGAUGUUGCCGAGAAUGAGGACAGCUCUAUGCCCAGUGCAGAGGCGAUAGAUGGUGCAUUGAGCAAGGAAACGAAUUCCAAGAGCAGUACGAGGUCGGCAAAGAAGAAGAAGAAGAAAGACGCAGGUAAAAAAGAGUCUCUACCAGAUCCUGCAAAGGAAGGUGCUGAGAAUAAGGACAGCUCUAUGCCCAGUGGAGGGGCGACAGAUGGUGCAUUGAGCAAGGAAACGAAUUCCAAGAUCAGUACGAGGUCGGCAAAGAAGAAGAAGAAAGAGUCUCUGCCAGAGCCUGCAAAGGAAAAGGCCACUGGUACUGGCAGUUCAACGCCGAGUAGAGUGGCGGCAGAUGAUACACCGAGCAAGAAAAGGAAGUCCAGUAAGAAGAGUUCAGCCAGUAACAGGAUCAUAGACACCUCCAUGGAUGCUGUGGAUGGCAUGUUGAGUGAGAGAAAAUCAGGGCGUAGGCUAAGGUCCAGCCACAAGAUUGUAGAGGCUUUGGAGGUUAUGAAAUGGCCGAGGAAGAAGGAUGCUGGUGAAACCACAAAGGUAAAAGAUAAAGAUGCUGCUUUGCCCAAGGAGAACAAUCUAGGGCGUAGAGCGGGUUCUGCACGCCACAAGGAUAAAACCACAAUCACAAAGGAUGGGGAUGGACUUAGAGUUUCUCCUCUCAAGAAAAGGUUGCACCUUGAUGUACACUCAGCAACAGAGAAUGCACCCUUUGCAGUCUCAGAGCUUGGCAGGAAGAAGAAGACGCUUAUUGAACUUCUGGCAGAGACAGCUACCCCUAACCCUUCAGCAGGUGGUAAGAGCAAGGCUCGAGCGGAGCGUCCCUUGCCUUCUUCAAUCCUGAAACCUGAGGCUACACCGAACACCAGAGGGAAGCGUUCUUUGCCUGCUUCUACUGAGACACCUGAGGAUCCAGGCCGCGAUAAGGAUACAAUGAACACCAGAGAGAAGCGUUCUGUGGCCUCAUCAACCGAGAAACCUGAGCGUGAUACGAGAAGUACAGUGAAGACUAGAGGAAAAAGUUCUUUGCCUUCUUCAGCCGAGGAACCUGAGGACCCAGACCGUGAUAAAAAUGAUACAAUGAAGACUAGAGGGAAGCGUUCUUUGCCUGCAUCAGCGGAGAAACGUCAGGAUCCUGACCGCGGCACAAAGGGUACAGCAAAGACUAGGGGUAAACGCUCUCUGCCUGAAUCAACUGAGGAUCCUGACCGUGUUACAAAGGGUUCAUCAAAGACUAAGGGAAAAGGUUCUCUUCCUGAAUCAACUGAGGAACCAGAGGGUCCUGAUGACCGUGAUAUGAAGGAUUCAAUGCACACCAGGAAACGAAAGAAGCUCGACACAUUGGGGGAUUUGUCUUCCCAGCCACAGCCUGUUUCUCCCAAGGGUUCCACGAAAGCUCGAGAAGUGAAGCGCAAAGCUGCUGGGCAGAAGUCACAGGCAUCACCUGUUGUCAAAGCCAAUGGUGGCAUAUCAGGCGAUACGUCUUCCAAGAGGUCCGCAAGGCGCAAAGCUGCUGAACCGAAGCCACAGGAAACCCCUGUUGUCAAAGCUAACGGUGAAGCUUCUCAGACGAGAUCGCGUAGGGCCAAAAACAGUGAAGUGACUGUUCCAGACAAGUCUCCACGCUCUGUUAAGCUGGAUAAGGGCAAGAAAGGUGCCGUGGCAGAAGACUCACCGUCUUGUGGUGAAAUGCUGUCACAGCUGUGUGUCGGAGCAAGUGAUGCUGAGAAGAUGGGGAAGAUCGCCCCUGCAAGCGCUAGCUUCUUGACUGAUUUCCUGAAGAGCGCUCGUGCCUGUACUUCUGAUGUGGAGGAGGCAGCCAACACAGACUGCCGUGCUUCUAGUCCCGAUGCUGACGAGGAGAUACCUGAGAAGGCAGCAGCAGACAAAGUUUCUAGUCCCAAUGCUGACGAAGAGAUGCCUGAGGAAGCAGCAGCAGACGAAAUUUCUAGUCCUCAUGCUGUCGAGGAGAUACCUGAGAAGGCAACAGACAAUGUUUCUAGUCCUCAUGCUGACUUGGAGGUGCCUGAGGAGGCAGCAGACAAAGUGUCUAGUCCUCAUGCUGACGAUGAGGUGAUACCUGAGGAGGCAGCAGAGAAAGUUUCUAGUCCCAGUGCCGAUGAGGCGAUACCCGAGGAGGCAGCAGAGAAAGUUUCUAGUCCCAAUGCUGAUGAGGUGAUGCCCGAGAAGGCAGCAGAUGAAGUUUCCAGUGUCCCUGCUAAUGAGGCGACACCUGAGAAGGCAGCAGAGAAAGUUUCUAGUCCCAAUGCUGAUGAGGUGAUACCUGAGGAGGCAGCAGAAAAAGCGAUACCUGAGGAGGCAGCAGAUGAAGUUUCACUUGCCCCUGCCGACGAGGAGACACUUUUGAAGGUAAAAGAGGAAGUUUCUAGUCCCCUUGCUGACGAGGAGACACUUGAGAAGGCAACAACAGAGAAUGUUUCUAGUGCCACUGCCGACGAGGAGACACUUGAGACGGCAGCAGCAGAGAAAGUUUCUAGUGCUCCUGCCGACGAGGAGACAUCUGAGACGGCAGCAACAGAGAAAGUUUCUAAUGCCCCUGCCGGUGAGGAGACACUUGAGAAGGUAAAAGAGGAAGUUUCUAGCCCGCAUGCUGAUGAGGCGAUACCUGAGAAGGCGGCAGAGAAAGUGUCUAGUCCCCAUGCUGAUGAGGCGACACCUGAGAAGGCAGCAGAUGAGGUUUCUAGCCCCCCUGCCGAUGUGGAGACACCUGAGAAGGCAACAGAGAAAGUUUGUUGCCCCCCUGCCGACGAGGAGAUAGCUGAGAAGCCAUCAGACAAAGUGUCUAGUCCUCAUGCUGAAGCAGAGAUGUCUGAGAAGGCAGCAAAGAGCUCACCUGCUCCAUCAGAGCCGCCGGUGGUGUGUGAUGAUAUGAAGGACAAUUACUGGUCUGACAUUCUCAUAAACGUGGAGGAACCGCUGUCUAGUCUGGCAAAGAAGAAGGACAAGGGCAAGAUGAGAUCAAGCAAGAAGCAGCGGCGUGACGACGAGAUGAAGCAAGAUGAGAUGCUGCUGGCAGAGGCAGAGAACGGGAAGGCGAACGGGGCCGAGGAGGACGUGUCGCUGACGGGCCUGGUGCUGCACUUCAGCAAGCCGGGCGCGGUGCCCUCGCGUGGCGACCUCAUCGAGAUCUUCAGCCAGUACGGGCCCGUUAGCGAGGCGAGGACGGAGACAGACGAGCACUCCAGCUCGGCCCAGGUGGUGUUCAGGCGGCGCGCGGACGCAGAGGCGGCGUUCGGCGGUGCGGGCAAGAUCGUCGCCCUCAGGCCCGGCCUCGACAGCUUCCGCCUCACCGACUUCCCGUGCGCCACGGCCGCGUUCCGGGUUGAGGACGGGCCGAAGCAGGGGUGA
Molecule: ribosomal RNA, 4593 nt
Filed under: Triticum aestivum (bread wheat)
Lineage: Eukaryota; Viridiplantae; Streptophyta; Magnoliopsida; Poales; Poaceae
Description: partial small subunit ribosomal RNA
Source: RNAcentral